AGAGUUUGAUCAUGGCUCAGAACGAACGCUGGCGGCAGGCUUAACACAUGCAAGUCGAACGCCCACUUCGGUGGGAGUGGCAGACGGGUGAGUAACGCGUGGAAACAUACCUUUUGCUUCGGAAUAUUCCCGGGAAACUGGGAGCAAUACCGAAUGUGCCCUGAGGGGGAAAGAUUUAUCGGCAAAAGAUUGGUCCGCGUUAGAUUAGGUAGUUGGUAGGGUAAAGGCCUACCAAGCCUACGAUCUAUAGCUGGUCUGAGAGGAUGAUCAGCCACAUUGGGACUGAGACACGGCCCAAACUCCUACGGGAGGCAUCAGUGGGGAAUAUUGGACAAUGGGCGCAAGCUGGAUCCAGCCAUGCCGCGUGAAUGAUGAAGGCCUUAGGGUUGUAAAAUUCUUUUCACCGGGGACGAUAAUGACGGUACCCGGA
This 430-nucleotide ribosomal RNA is filed under the name uncultured Pseudomonadota bacterium. RNAcentral describes it as "bacterial SSU rRNA". It matches the Rfam family "Bacterial small subunit ribosomal RNA", at positions 8 to 483 of the family's 1533-position model. The record is from RNAcentral. Lineage: Bacteria; Pseudomonadati; Pseudomonadota.